This 505-nucleotide ribosomal RNA is filed under the name uncultured bacterium. Its description in RNAcentral is "partial 16S ribosomal RNA". It matches the Rfam family "Bacterial small subunit ribosomal RNA", at positions 355 to 874 of the family's 1533-position model. The record is from RNAcentral.
UGGGGAAUAUUGCACAAUGGGCGAAAGCCUGAUGCAGCAACGCCGCGUGAGUGAUGAAAGGCCUUCGGGUUGUAAAGCUCUGUCUUUUGGGACGAUAAUGACGGUACCAAAGGAGGAAGCCACGGCUAACUACGUGCCAGCAGCCGCGGUAAUACGUAGGUGGCAAGCGUUGUCCGGAUUUACUGGGCGUAAAGGAUGCGUAGGCGGAUUUUUAAGUGAGAUGUGAAAACCCUAAGCUUAACUUGGGGGACUGCAUUUCAUACUGGAAAUCUAGAGUGCGGGAGAGGAGAAUGGAAUUCCUAGUGUAGCGGUGAAAUGCGUAGAGAUUAGGAAGAACACCAGUGGCGAAGGCGAUUCUCUGGACCGUAACUGACGCUGAGGCAUGAAAGCGUGGGUAGCAAACAGGAUUAGAUACCCUGGUAGUCCACGCCGUAAACGAUGAGUACUAGGUGUAGGAGGUAUCGACCCCUUCUGUGCCGCAGUUAACACAAUAAGUACUCCGCCU